GCUUUCACGCCCCCUCCCUUAGACUUAAAUUGAGGGUGUGUGGCCGUGAUGUCACAAGCGGGGGAAUUAUUGACGUCCGCCCCGCAUCGUUCAGUGCACCGGAAGUUCACUCCGUGCACCAGAUGUAUGGGGUGCCGUAGUAGAGAUCGCAGGGGUCCCAGUGCCAGGAGCUGCGUGAUCAGACAUCUUAUCCCCUAUCCUUUGGAUAGGGGAUAAGAUGUCUAGGGGCGGAGUACCCCUUUAAACAUGUCUUUACGUAAAAAAAAAAUAAAUUCAGUCUGCUUUCAGCUACCACUACAGAGAUUCACCAACUCCCAUCAUGCCGCUAGUGCCACAGGUGACCGAAGUGAGAGAGUCCAAGUUUCUUUGGCUGCAACAGGGACAGAGAGACACAUGCAUAAGGAGGUUCAAUUUAGUUACUGGGUGUAAAGAACGCAGUUUUUUGUCACAAUUAGAUAGAUCAUAGAAAAAAAUAAAAGAAAAGAAAAGAAAAGUAGCCAAGAAGUAUGUCUUUCUCCAUGAGUAAGACUUGUUAAGUCGAAACACGUCGGAGGUGUUUUCCUUCUGUGCAUAUGUACUUUUAAUCCACUUUCGUGUUUUUGGAUUUUACUAUGGAUCAAUAAAAUUUAUAUUUUUUACUCAUAUGGGAGCCAGACUUUUUCACCCUACCUUUUUCUGAUGAGUCCACCUGGAGACACGGCUUCAGUGUUAGCCCGGAGCUUCCAACCUGAGAUGUACUGAGAGGAACGAUAUCUGUCUAUGUGGAUUUAUGGACAGUUUCGGGGUUCUUGCCCCUGAUAUGCAUGGAGCAGGGCACUGGCAAACCAGAUAAUUUAAAUUGGAGAAGGAGACUUCUUUUCAGGCAAUGCUCGAGGUAAUCAACAGGAACAUUGGAGGAUAUUCGGCUUCCAACAAGGUAAAAUUCAAGGCUUUAUUCCAAAACUUAGUUAAAAUCCAAGUGUAACACAGCAAAAGUAGUAUAAAAAAUACAAAACAAAACGCACCAACGCAUUUCAACUUGUUAACAGGGCAUUAGUUUAGGAUACAACACAGCAAUAUAUAACUGCUCCUACAUGUGAUGAAAUGACCACAGGGAAAAAGGUAAGGAAUGGAAAGAGAGACAGGUACAAGUUAUACGGCAUAUACAAAUAUAUACAAAUCUAAAAUCAUGACAAUAACCAUGUUGUGUUGGAUGCUGGAGUGACAAAGUCACUGGGUGAUAAUUGGUUUUGCAAGGAACCCGCUUUGCGUGGAACUACUCGGAUCCCUAUUACUAUAUACAUAAUGUCAUCAUAUUUCAGGAUGGGAAGAUGUUUAAAAAUGAUCUUUGAUAUGUCCUCAAAUUGAUUAGAAUAUGGUGUGGUGAAUGUGGAACUACUGUUAUGAGAGGAAUUUGGAACAGUGUUAUAUCUUGGUUUAUCCUAUAAGUUUCCCAACCAGGGUGCCUCCAGCUGUUUCCCAACCAGGGUGUCUCCAUCAGGGCAGGAGGUGGUGUAAUGGUGUAGGGCAGUGUUUCCCAACCAGGGUGCC
This is a long non-coding RNA of Hyla sarda, 1530 nucleotides long. RefSeq lists it as uncharacterized. The transcript has 4 exons. Lineage: Eukaryota; Metazoa; Chordata; Amphibia; Anura; Hylidae. The record is from RefSeq and is a predicted model, not a curated record.